AUGUAAAAUACAUUCGAGAUUAUCGAUUUAAAUUGAUUUACAGCCUUUUAAUUUGAGAUAACCAAUGGAUUUUGAAACGAAUAUUGACUAUCGAUUUGAGAUUAUUGCAUCUUUUGUAAUACUUCAAGGACGAGACUCAGCGAUAUAUCGAAUGACACACGGAUCGAUAUUUCCGAACGCGUUCUCUUUGAGAUACGUUUAAAGAAAAUUAUCCAUUAGAAUUUUGCAAUGGAAAAUGUUUCAAUUUAAUCAAACAUAGUUGGAAAGUAUUUUUAUUUUUUUUUUCUUCUAUAUGAUUAAUUUUAUUUUUAGUUAUGCAUUUGUUAUGAAAUAAUGUUAUUUAAAAUGGAAUGGAAAAACGAGUUGGUGCAACACAUUGAUACAUGCGUAAUUUGUGUUUUACAAGUCGCGUGGAAGCGAAGCAAACCGUAACACACAACAUCAUCGAGGACACAGGUUACGUAAUACGACGCUCGAGAAACGAACUGGUAAAACGAAAUGAAAAAAAUUCCUUGCCAAUCUUUUUCUUCUCUCUGCUAUAUCUGAGGAUAUUCGAUUAAUCUUACAAACGAUAAUUUUAAAUCUUCUUUUAAAUCUAAAACUUCAAAAUCAACGUUAUUUCAACUGCCUCUGCAAUGGGACUAACAAGGAUACCAGAAACUUUUGAAUCAUACUUAAGAAAAUUCCCAUUAAUACUAUUAAUUUAUUAUAUUGUCAAAAUUAAAAUGUAAUUUUAAUGUUUUUUAUUGUUAAAUAAUAUCUUGAAGAUAAUAAAAGAAUAAUGGUGUUGAACCAAGUUAACGUGUUGUCAACAGUUCAAGUUGAAAUUCCUUUUGAGGACGUUUCCAUGACGAAAAGUUGGAACGAAACCGAUUAUCGAUUUAUCACUGGCUUAUCAUUUGCUAAGCUGAAAUAACCUAGGACAAGCUUAUCGGUUUUCUAUCUUUUUACCUUUUUUUUCUAUAUUUCUUUUUUUUAGUUGAAAUAAAAAAGAUACAAUUAAUAUAAUAUGAAGCUCAUAUCAAUGUACUAAACAUUUCAUUUUACCCAACGUGGAAAGAUUUUCCAAACUUCGUUUACUUUCAUUCGUAUAUAUAUUUAAACUUAAUUUGAAAAAUACAAACAUUAAAAUCUCUUAGAAAGAGAUCUUUAAUAAAAAGAGAUAAAUAUUGGAACAAAGUCUUUGUCAAUGUUAACUGGAAGAUCAAUGACAUUUAAAUUGACCAUAAUGGAGGCCACAAUGACAUCAAAAAACAUUACAUCUCAAGAACGAAUAAUCAACUAAAUUAAAGAAGUUUAAUUAUAUUUUAUCGGUGUUUAAUUAUGUUAUGAAUCGUUAAAAUAA
Molecule: long non-coding RNA, 1345 nt
Organism: Polistes dominula (European paper wasp)
Lineage: Eukaryota; Metazoa; Arthropoda; Insecta; Hymenoptera; Vespidae
Source: RefSeq, a predicted model, not a curated record